CCUACGGGAGGCAGCAGUGAGGAAUAUUUGUCAAUGGCCGAGAGGCUGAACCAGCCAAGUCGCGUGAGGGAAGACGGCCCUAUGGGUUGUAAACCUCUUUUGUCGGGGAGCAAAACGAACAACGUGUCGUCCAUGGAGAUUACCCGAAGAAAAAGCAUCGGCUACCUCCGUGCCAGCAGCCGCGGUAAUACGGAGGAUGCGAGCGUUAUCCGGAUUUAUUGGGUUAAAAGGGUGAGCAGGCGGAGUUGCAAGUCAGCGGUCAAAUUGCGGGGCUCAACCCCGUACUGCCGUUGAAACUGCAGCCCUGGAGUGUGCGAGAGGUAUGCGGAAGGCGUGGUGUAGCGGUGAAAUGCAUAGAUAUCACGCAGAACUCCGAUUGCGAAGGCAGCAUACCGGCGCGCAACUGACGCUCAGGCACGAAAGCGUGGGUAUCGAACAGGAUUAGAUACCCGUGUAGUC
This 459-nucleotide ribosomal RNA is filed under the name uncultured bacterium. Its description in RNAcentral is "partial 16S ribosomal RNA". It matches the Rfam family "Bacterial small subunit ribosomal RNA", at positions 338 to 795 of the family's 1533-position model. The record is from RNAcentral.